Non-coding RNA from Pelobates cultripes (western spadefoot toad), 460 nucleotides. NCBI's taxonomy places the organism in Eukaryota, Metazoa, Chordata, Amphibia, Anura, Pelobatidae. The record is from the annotation of a GenBank genome assembly.
CAGACAUACUGACACACACACAGACAUACAUACUGACACACACACAGACAUACAAACUGACACAGACAUAUACUGACUGGCACAUACAUACUGACACUCACACAGACAUACAAACUGACACACAGACAUAUACUGACUGACACAUACAUACUGACACUCACACAGACAUACUGACACACACAAAGACAUACUGACACACACAAAGACAUACAUACUGACACACACACAGACAUACAUACUGACACACACACAUACAUACUGACACACAGACAGACAUACAAACUGACACACCGACAGACAUACAAACUGACACACAGACAUACAAACUGACACACAGACAGACAUACAAACUGACACACAGACAGACAUACAAACUGACACACAGACACUCUUCAGUUUCCUACCUUUGAAAGAGGCUUCCUUCCCUGGGGUCCAGUGUGCUGGCUGGGGUAGUUGGGAG